Molecule: ribosomal RNA, 1446 nt
Filed under: uncultured Bordetella sp.
Lineage: Bacteria; Pseudomonadati; Pseudomonadota; Betaproteobacteria; Burkholderiales; Alcaligenaceae
Description: partial 16S-23S ribosomal RNA intergenic spacer
Rfam family: Bacterial small subunit ribosomal RNA
Source: RNAcentral
ACGCUGGCGGGAUGCUUUACACAUGCAAGUCGAACGGCAGCACGGACUUCGGUCUGGUGGCGAGUGGCGAACGGGUGAGUAAUGUAUCGGAACGUGCCUAGUGGGGAUAACUACGCGAAAGCGUAGCUAAUACCGCAUACGCCCUUCGGGGGAAAGCGGGGACCUUCGGGCCUCGCACUAUUAGAGCGCCGAUACAGCCUCCGGAUUAGCUGAAGCUGUGGGGUGAACGGUCACCAAGGCGACGAUCCGUGCUUGCUCGAGGACGACCAGCCACACUGACUGAGACGCUUCCAGACUCUACGGGAGGCAGCAGUGGGGAAUUUUGGACAAUGGGGAAGCCCUGAUCCAGCCAUCCCGCGUGUGCGAUGAAGGCCUUCGGGUUGUAAAGCACUUGGCAGGAGAAGAAACGGCACGGGAUAAUACCCCGUGCAACUGACGGUACCUGCAGAAUAAGCACUGGCUAACUACGUGCCAGCAGCCGCGGUAAUACGUAGGGUGCAAGCGUUAAUCGGAAUUACUGGGCGUAAAGCGUGCGCAGGCGGUUCGGAAAGAAAGAUGUGAAAUCCCGGCAGAGCUUAACUUUCAACCGCAUUUUCUUUAACUACCGAGCUAGAGUGUGUCAGAGGGAGGUGGAAUUCCGCGUGUAGCAGUGAAAUGCGUAGAUAUGCGGAGGAACACCGAUGGCGAAGGCAGCCUCCUGGGAUAACACUGACGCUCAUGCACGAAAGCGUGGGGAGCAAACAGGAUUAGAUACCCUGUAGUCCACGCCCUAAACGAUGUCAACUAGCUGUUGGGGCCUUCGGCCUGGUAGCGCAGCUAACGCGUGAAGUUGACCGCCUGGGAGUACGGUCGCAAGAUUAAACUCAAAGGAAUUGACGUGGGGACUCCGCACAAGCGGUGUGGAUGAUGUGAUUAAUUCGAUGCAACGCGAAAAACCUUACCUACCCUUGACAUGUCUGAAUCCCGGAAGAUCGGGAGUGCUCGCAAGAGAACCGGAAAUUUGUGCUGCAUGGCUGUCGUCAGUUCGUGUCGUGAUGUUGGUUAAGUCCCCGUAACGAGCGCAACCCUUGUCAUUAGUUGCUACGAAAGGGCACUCUAAUGACUGCCGGUGACAAACCGGAGGAAGGUGGGGAUGACGUCAAGUCCUCAUGGCUCCCGCGGGUAGGGUCAUCGUCAUACAAUGGUCGGGACAGAGGGUCGCCAACCCGCGAGGGGGAGCCAAUCCCAGAAACCCGAUCGGUCCGGAUCGCAGUCUUGCAACUCGACUGCGUGAAGUCGGAAUCGCUAGUAAUCGCGGAUCAGCAUGUCGCGGUGAAUACGUUCCCCGGUCUGUAUACCGCCCGUCACACCAUGGGAGUGGGUUUUACCAGAAGUAGUUAGCCUAACCGUAAGGAGGGCGAUUACCACGGUAGGAUUCAUGACUGGGGUGAAGUCGUAACAAGGUAG